This 3046-nucleotide unclassified non-coding RNA is filed under the name Priapulus caudatus. RNAcentral's name for it is "putative phosphoenolpyruvate synthase, transcript variant X1". Lineage: Eukaryota; Metazoa; Priapulida; Priapulimorpha; Priapulimorphida; Priapulidae. The record is from RNAcentral.
AUCGAGGCCUACAACACUGGCAAAUACCUGCGCAUCUGCGUGCUAUUGCGCACGCGAAUAUAUAGCACGCUAAUGAUACUACAUACUCUUAAACAUAACUCAACAAAGCCAAGAUAAUUACCAUCAUGACACGUUCAAGCGAUAUUUGUCGUUUGGUUUUAGGCCAUCUUGACUGCCACAUUACGGUAGAGAAGAACCAGGAGCAGAUUCUCUAUGUAGGAGAGCAAUGGAACUCCAGGAUACACGAGCAAUUUACCAAUGUAACGAUGAAAGGAAUCAAGGGCUGGGGUGUUACUGAGUACCUAUACAGAAAUGACGAUGGCUGUCCAGUUCCACUGCAAACGUCACUUCCAAUGUUAAAGGAACUUGAGCACGUCAGAGAUAGAGGAGUUUUGACAUUGUCUUUCGAUGCAUCUGUGUGUUCUGCUUCUCUGCUGGUUGGUGGCAAGGGAACCCAACUGGCCUUACUAAGCCAACUCAUGACCGACAGCAAGUUCCUCGUUCCACGCGGCUUUUGUCUGACUGUGGCUGCCUACAAAAAGCACCUGCAUAACAACAGGACUUUGCUCGGCUGCAUUCAAAUGCUGGAGGACGUGGCUUAUCGACGGAAGCAGGGUGAUUUGUACGAGAUCACGAAAUCCAUCGUGGAUGGUUUUAACGCUACACAACUGAGUGAAGAGACGCAGAAAGCGGUUUUUCAGCAAGCGAGUAAGCAGUUUGGCGACGCAUGGGAGCAGACGACAUUUGCUGUGCGUUCGUCUGCAGUCGGAGAAGACGGCGCCGAUGUGUCUUAUGCCGGUCAAAUGGAAACCUUUCUCGGAGUCAAAGGACGAAAUGAGUUGGCAAACGCGAUCGUGCAAUGCUGGGCAUCUUCAUUCACAUAUCAAGCUAUGGAGUACAGGAGGAAUCACGGUCAGGCUGUAGCAGCAGAUAUGGGGGUCUGUGUGCAGGAGAUGGUGCAGGCAGACGCUGCCGGUGUACUCUUCACGAGAGAUCCAGUGUCUGGCAACCCAGGUGUCAUGGCUAUCAACGUGUCAUACGGUCUUGGAGAAGCGGUUGUGUCCGGAGUGACGGAGCCAGACACAAUCUACCUGCAGAGAAGUUUCUACGAUAAGCUAAGCAUUAAGGACAAGGUCCUGGGAAGCAAAAAGACGCAGAUGGUCGUUGACAGUCAGGCUGGGGGAGUGAAAGAAAUUGAGACGGCAUAUAGCAACGAAUGCUGUCUAACUGAUAUAAUUGCUAUAGAACUUGGAAGGAUUGGUAUACUGGUAGAACAUUCGUUCUCUGAUCCGCGAGACAUAGAAUUCGCUGUGAAAGAUGGUCAGAUCUACCUUCUUCAGGCAAGACCAAUCACCUUCCUCAAUAUUGAGUCCGAUUACGAACUCAUGCAUGAGCAAGAUGGCCCUGUCAUCGCCGACCAAGAUUUGUUUACAACGGCUAAUGCUGGAGAAAUGAUGCCUCAAGCAAUGACCCCCCUCACAGCGGACCACUUUCUACAAGCUCUGACAAGUCUUGUACAUUUAAUGCACCAGGAAUAUUUUUGCCUAUACCGCCAGGCGUCCUUCACGAUGACGCAAGUAGGUGCCUGCUUCAGUGGUCACUUCAUGCUCAAUAUGCUAAACGGCCUUUAUAACAUGAACGAGUACACGGUUGGAUUAGACACCGAGAAAUCAUGUGCAUUCGCUGACACCAUGAUGUUUGGACGGUCAUUUGGCCGUAAAUAUUUGCCUAUAAUUCGACAGCGCUAUCACAUGACUUACGUACCAUUUUACAAGAAGAUUCUUGGUAAAUUGCGAGCGUACAGAGACCCACUCCGUGCGAAGAACAUUGUUGAACGCGCGAAAAUGGAAAUGUCCAACAUGCGCAUAGACGUCACCCAUACGGACGUGAACAGGAUGUUCAAUGAACUUGAGAAGGGCUUUCACCCUGCAUUUGUCGCAUGGAACUACCAUAUAAGGACUUCCGGUACGUCUGCUAUGUGGUCGAACAUCAUGCGAAUGGUCCUCGAGCGAGACUCGUCCAGUAAGCGCAUAGACGACGUGUCCAGCAGCUCAAUGUCGGACGUCGCCAUGCUGCUGUCGACGUGCCCGGAUGUGCUCAGCGCCGACGUUCCUUCCGCUCUCCGCAGCAUGGCGCGGGCUGUAAUUAACAACGGGAGAGCCCCCUUCUUCCACUCACUGAUGCCUGAGACAGCUGUGCAGUGGCUCCGAUCAGAUGCUAGUGGCGAACUCAAGCAGAUGUUUGACCAGUUUAUGAAUGCGCACGGACACAGAUGUGUGAGAGAGGCUGAACUUAUGGAAAAGCCAUGGAGAAUGGAGCCAGAACAAGUCGUUAAGACAAUACAGGAAAUGACAAAAUCUCCGAGCCAGCUGACAGAAACAAAGAAGUACAUGACCGAAGAAGAAGCACUUGUGAAUAUAAAAACACCGCUUGGUUUCAUCCAGAGGAAAAUAAUUCACUUCCUACUGCCGAGGGCUAGACAAGCUGUCAGUUACAGAGAAGCGACAAAGGGCACUGCCAUCAAAGGCACGGACAACAUGAGACAAGGCUAUCGCAGAUUGGCUGAGCUGCUCGAACAGGAAGGUCGUCUACCUGACAGAGAGCUGAUCUUCUUCUUCACGCACAGCGAGAUUCGCAAGCUGAUCGCGACUCGGUCGGCCAAACUCAUCAACAAGGCAAUGCGUAGGAGAAAGCUGAUGCCGACAUUGAUGGCUAUGCAGUUUCCAAUGGUCAGCGGUGGCUUACCUGAACCAAUCGAGGACGAGUUUAAUGAAGAGGAUGCAUUAAUCACAGUGAAACUCUCAGGCAUGCCAGUAAGCCACGGCGUCGUGAGGGCGAAAUGUCGCGUCGUGAAAUCAUUAGAGGAUGCUGCCAGCAUUCAGGAGCAGUGGUAGCACGGGAAUAUGGACUACCAUGUCUGGUAUCUGCCGAAAAAGCUACGAUCGUCUUUACCACAGGUGAGGAGGUAAUACUUGACGGAACCCUAGGUACUAUAGCAAAGGUGUCGCAUAAAACACACAGCGACACGGUGGCGAGUCCAAAUACA